RNAcentral lists this non-coding RNA (177 nucleotides) under Staphylococcus microti. RNAcentral's name for it is "Lysine sequence". It matches the Rfam family "Lysine riboswitch aptamer". From Rfam's summary of the family: Riboswitches are metabolite binding domains within certain messenger RNAs that serve as precision sensors for their corresponding targets. Allosteric rearrangement of mRNA structure is mediated by ligand binding, and this results in modulation of gene expression. Lineage: Bacteria; Bacillati; Bacillota; Bacilli; Caryophanales; Staphylococcaceae. The record is from RNAcentral.
AAUUUUUGAUGAGGCGCAUCAAUCAUGAGUAGCUAUAGAUAUUUGUCUGCAAACAAUCUAUAUCCAAAGGGUGCGAUGCCGAAAUAAACAGACUUUGCAGAAUCUGUUUAUUGGAUUCUAAGGUUAAGAGCUAAGAAUCUGUCAUUAUUCUAAUGAUAAUGGAGUGCAUCACUUGUA